This 466-nucleotide ribosomal RNA is filed under the name uncultured Klebsiella sp. RNAcentral describes it as "bacterial SSU rRNA". It matches the Rfam family "Bacterial small subunit ribosomal RNA", at positions 338 to 795 of the family's 1533-position model. The record is from RNAcentral. Lineage: Bacteria; Pseudomonadati; Pseudomonadota; Gammaproteobacteria; Enterobacterales; Enterobacteriaceae.
CCUACGGGAGGCAGCAGUGGGGAAUAUUGCACAAUGGGCGCAAGCCUGAUGCAGCCAUGCCGCGUGCGUGAAGAAGGCCUUCGGGUUGUAAAGCACUUUCAGCGGGGAGGAAGGCGGUGAGGUUAAUAACCUCAUCGAUUGACGUUACCCGCAGAAGGAGCACCGACUAACUCCGUGCCAGCAGCCGCGGUAAUACGGAGGGUGCAAGCGUUAAUCGGAAUUACUGGGCGUAAAGCGCACGCAGGCGGUCUGUCAAGUCGGAUGUGAAAUCCCCGGGCUCAACCUGGGAACUGCAUUCGGAAACUGGCAGGCUAGAGUCUUGUAGAGGGGGGUAGAAUUCCAGGUGUAGCGGUGAAAUGCGUAGAGAUCUGGAGGAAUACCGGUGGCGAAGGCGGCCCCCUGGACAAAGACUGACGCUCAGGUGCGAAAGCGUGGGGAGCAAACAGGAUUAGAUACCCGAGUAGUC